Molecule: long non-coding RNA, 679 nt
Organism: Clupea harengus (Atlantic herring)
Lineage: Eukaryota; Metazoa; Chordata; Actinopteri; Clupeiformes; Clupeidae
Exons: 3
Source: RefSeq, a predicted model, not a curated record
UUGAUGCUAGUAUUACGUUUUUUUCACCCCUGAUGCUAGUAUUAAGUGCUCUUUGUAAUGUUAUUGUGAUAGCCAUGUUGGCUAGGUUGCCAACGACUUUCCUAACACAGUCAAACAUCAAGCAAGUGGCUUCAUCUGGCAAAACAACUGUCCAGAAAAGGAGACAAUGCACAUUAUCGUCAUGACUAUUAUCAUUUUUUUUGUUAGAACAUGUUCAGUUGCUAACAAGACCAUCUCAAAAUACAUUUCAGUUAAUUUAUAGUUAGUGUUUCUGUUAGUGUGUAAAUAGUUUGUAAAGUGUAUAAAUAGUUCAGUUGUAAUAAGUGCAUAAACAAUUGCAAUAGUUGCAAGUUGCAACAAGUGUGAAUAUUCAUAAUUCAAAAUAAUUCUACCAGACAGACAGGCUGUCUCAUUGUUCACCAUAGUGUAAUGGCAUGUGUGUAUUAGUGCAAAGGUAUGUGGUGGCAUGUUUUUCAUUGUUGUUUUUUCAAUAAAGGGGAGAAAUUGCCCUUUAAUUAUGUGUCUAUCUUCAAUGUACCCAACCCACAUAGCUUUAGGUUUUUUUCCACCUCAAACACACAUCUGUAAAAUUAUGUAAUUCAUACUUAUGGAAAUAACUAUGUAGUCAUAUAGUCAGAUACGGACAAUAGGUCUACAUAGCCGUGUAUAAUCAAUGCCA